GCCCCCUUCGUCUAUCGGCUAGGACGGCAGGUUCUCAUCCUGCAAAGACCGGUUCGAUUCCGGUAGGGGGUGCCA
Molecule: transfer RNA, 75 nt
Filed under: Lentisphaerota bacterium
Lineage: Bacteria; Pseudomonadati; Lentisphaerota
Also listed under: 3 other names
Description: Lentisphaerae bacterium tRNA-Glu
Rfam family: tRNA
About the family: Transfer RNA (tRNA) molecules are approximately 80 nucleotides in length. Their secondary structure includes four short double-helical elements and three loops (D, anti-codon, and T loops).
Source: RNAcentral